GCGACGAGGUUGAUACCCGGUGUAUUAGAUUUUAUUGCAAAGAGGACGCCAUAGUGAACCGAUUGGAUCUUGGAUUGGAUUUUUAACAAGAGUACGGUGUGGUACAGUGGUAGAAAAAAAGCAAUUUUGAUCGGCCAUUGGGGUAAAAUUAGAAGCUACGGCAAACUGCUUUGUCACCAUAAGAGGAAAGGCAUUGGGCGAAGUUGUUUUCGUGAGGCCAAACACGAGGAAAUCAACUGGGGCGGUUUCGCAUAGCUGGCGGUUUUGACGAUACCGGACCACUCUCCCGCCUCCCAGUAAGAUCGUUUCCGAAGUGGAAAGAACUUUAGACAUUGUCGGCAACUGUCGAGGAUUUCUCGGGUGCAAAUUGGAAACGUUCCAACCAUUGCGUACUGCAACCAAGUACGAAGAUGUAAGUCAGAAGACAACUGUAGACGGGACGUGGUAGUCGUUUUGAGACGAUGCGAUGAGGAUAGAUCAGAGAAUAAUUUCUCACGAAAUGAUGAAGGAGGGGCAACAGGCAAUGAAACGCCGGCGAACAUCGUUCCUCGAGCUGGCGUUAAACGAAAGAGUGACGAAUUGGCAGGUUUUACACCGAGGCGAUCGAAGCGAAUUAAGAAAUCUAAGAAAGAGGAUGUAUAUGUUUAUAAUUAAUCAGGUCUAUUGGCUUUGAUUUGUCUGAGUUUAUUGAUUUUCCUUAAAUUGAAUAUAAAGUUCAUUCGAAUUGUUGAAUUUAAACUUCUGAAUUUUGAACUCUACUUAGUAUUAGUCGUCAGUGAAUGCUGGAAAUCUAAAAAACCCAAAGGGGUAAGGAGUUGUAGUAUAUAUCCAACUUGGACUUUAUUUUGUUUAGAGUGCACGUCAAAUGACAGCUGCCUACAGUCCAAUACA
Long non-coding RNA from Armigeres subalbatus, 891 nucleotides. RefSeq lists it as uncharacterized. The record is from RefSeq and is a predicted model, not a curated record. Lineage: Eukaryota; Metazoa; Arthropoda; Insecta; Diptera; Culicidae. The transcript is spliced from 3 exons.